This 592-nucleotide ribosomal RNA is filed under the name Klebsiella sp. RNAcentral describes it as "bacterial SSU rRNA". It matches the Rfam family "Bacterial small subunit ribosomal RNA", at positions 772 to 1364 of the family's 1533-position model. Lineage: Bacteria; Pseudomonadati; Pseudomonadota; Gammaproteobacteria; Enterobacterales; Enterobacteriaceae. The record is from RNAcentral.
ACAGGAUUAGAUACCCUGGUAGUCCACGCCGUAAACGAUGUCGACUUGGAGGUUGUGCCCUUGAGGCGUGGCUUCCGGAGCUAACGCGUUAAGUCGACCGCCUGGGGAGUACGGCCGCAAGGUUAAAACUCAAAUGAAUUGACGGGGGCCCGCACAAGCGGUGGAGCAUGUGGUUUAAUUCGAUGCAACGCGAAGAACCUUACCUACUCUUGACAUCCAGAGAACUUAGCAGAGAUGCUUUGGUGCCUUCGGGAACUCUGAGACAGGUGCUGCAUGGCUGUCGUCAGCUCGUGUUGUGAAAUGUUGGGUUAAGUCCCGCAACGAGCGCAACCCUUAUCCUUUGUUGCCAGCGGUUCGGCCGGGAACUCAAAGGAGACUGCCAGUGAUAAACUGGAGGAAGGUGGGGAUGACGUCAAGUCAUCAUGGCCCUUACGAGUAGGGCUACACACGUGCUACAAUGGCAUAUACAAAGAGAAGCGACCUCGCGAGAGCAAGCGGACCUCAUAAAGUAUGUCGUAGUCCGGAUUGGAGUCUGCAACUCGACUCCAUGAAGUCGGAAUCGCUAGUAAUCGUAGUACAGAUAGCUACGGUG